UGCCAGCAGCCGCGGUAAUACAGAGAGUGCAAGCGUUAAUCGGAAUAACUGGGCGUAAAGCGCACGUAGGUGGAUAUUUUAGUCGGAUGUGAAAGCCCUAGGCUUAACCUAGGAACUGCAUCCGAUACUGGGUAUCUAGAGUAUAGUAGAGGGAAGUGGAAUUUCCGGUGUAGCGGUGAAAUGCGUAGAUAUCGGAAGGAACACCAGUGGCGAAGGCGGCUUCCUGGACUAAUACUGACACUGAGGUGCGAAAGCGUGGGGAGCAAACAGGAUUAGAUA
Molecule: ribosomal RNA, 279 nt
Filed under: uncultured bacterium
Lineage: Bacteria
Description: partial 16S ribosomal RNA
Rfam family: Bacterial small subunit ribosomal RNA
Source: RNAcentral